Molecule: unclassified non-coding RNA, 380 nt
Filed under: uncultured bacterium
Lineage: Bacteria
Description: contains 16S-23S intergenic spacer region
Source: RNAcentral
UCCGACUUAACGUCGGCAGUCUCGUUAGAGUGCUCGCCAUGACGCGUUAGCAACUAACGACAAGGGUUGCGCUCGUUGCGGGACUUAACCCAACAUCUCACGACACGAGCUGACGACAGCCAUGCAGCACCUUCUACCAGGUUCCCCGAAGGGCACUCCCACAUCUCUGCAGGAUUCCUGGCGAUUUAACCCAGGUAAGGUUCUGCGCGUUGCCUCGAAUUAAACCACACGCUCCGCUGCUUGUGCGGGCCCCCGCCUAUUCCUUUGAGUUUUAACCUUGCGGCCGUAGUCCCCAGGCGGGGCACUUACUGCGUUAGCGACGGCACCGGGAGGGUCGCUCCCCCCGACGCCUAGUGCCCAUCGUUUACGGCGUGGACUAC